Molecule: transfer RNA, 86 nt
Filed under: Patescibacteria group bacterium
Lineage: Bacteria
Description: tRNA-Thr
Rfam family: tRNA
About the family: Transfer RNA (tRNA) molecules are approximately 80 nucleotides in length. Their secondary structure includes four short double-helical elements and three loops (D, anti-codon, and T loops).
Source: RNAcentral
GCGCCGGUGGUGGAAAUGGUAGACACAGUAGCCUUGUAAACUACUGACCUGGGAGGGUCAUACGGAUUCGAUUUCCGUCCGGCGCA